CUUUGGUGAUGAGUUUUUAACUUCGGUCCGUGUUUCUGAAACCUGAUUAUACUAGAAGUUCUGAAGGG
Molecule: small nucleolar RNA, 68 nt
Filed under: Hucho hucho (huchen)
Lineage: Eukaryota; Metazoa; Chordata; Actinopteri; Salmoniformes; Salmonidae
Description: Small nucleolar RNA SNORD18 (ENSHHUG00000016915.1)
Rfam family: Small nucleolar RNA SNORD18
About the family: U18 is a member of the C/D class of snoRNA which contain the C (UGAUGA) and D (CUGA) box motifs. It is encoded in introns of ribosomal protein L1 in Xenopus and human, and in introns of elongation factor 1 beta in yeast.
Source: Rfam by way of RNAcentral